Molecule: ribosomal RNA, 468 nt
Filed under: uncultured Alphaproteobacteria bacterium
Lineage: Bacteria; Pseudomonadati; Pseudomonadota; Alphaproteobacteria
Description: bacterial SSU rRNA
Rfam family: Bacterial small subunit ribosomal RNA
Source: RNAcentral
GAGUUUGAUCGUGGCUCAGAGCGAACGCUGGCGGCAGGCUUAACACAUGCAAGUCGAGCGGGCGUAGCAAUACGUCAGCGGCAGACGGGUGAGUAACGCGUGGGAACGUACCUUUUGGUUCGGAACAACACAGGGAAACUUGUGCUAAUACCGGAUAAGCCCUUACGGGGAAAGAUUUAUCGCCGAAAGAUCGGCCCGCGUCUGAUUAGCUAGUUGGUAGGGUAAUGGCCUACCAAGGCGACGAUCAGUAGCUGGUCUGAGAGGAUGAUCAGCCACAUUGGGACUGAGACACGGCCCAAACUCCUACGGGAGGCAGCAGUGGGGAAUAUUGGACAAUGGGGGCAACCCUGAUCCAGCCAUGCCGCGUGAGUGAUGAAGGCCCUAGGGUUGUAAAGCUCUUUUGUGCGGGAAGAUAAUGACGGUACCGCAAGAAUAAGCCCCGGCUAACUUCGUGCCAGCCGCCGCCGU